Molecule: non-coding RNA, 72 nt
Organism: Ictidomys tridecemlineatus (thirteen-lined ground squirrel)
Lineage: Eukaryota; Metazoa; Chordata; Mammalia; Rodentia; Sciuridae
Source: Rfam
CGGGUUGUGGCUCAGUGGUAGAGCACUUGCCUCACACACAUGAGGCACUGGGUUUGAUCCUCAGCAUCAUAU